Molecule: ribosomal RNA, 261 nt
Filed under: uncultured bacterium
Lineage: Bacteria
Description: partial 16S ribosomal RNA
Rfam family: Bacterial small subunit ribosomal RNA
Source: RNAcentral
CGUAGGCGCAAGCGUUAUCCGGAAUUAUUGGGCGUAAAGAGCUCGUAGGCGGUUUGUUCGCGUCUGCCGUGAAAGUACCGGGGCGUUAACUCCGGAUCUGCGGUGGGUACGGGCGAGGACUAGAGUGCAGUAGGGGAGACGUGGAAUUCCUGGUGUAGCGGUGAAAUGACGCAGAUAUCAGGAGGAACACCGAUGGCGAAGGCAGGUCUCUGGGCUGUAACUGACGCUGAGGAGCGAAAGCAUGGGGAGCGGAACAGGAUU